Molecule: ribosomal RNA, 422 nt
Filed under: uncultured bacterium
Lineage: Bacteria
Description: bacterial SSU rRNA
Rfam family: Bacterial small subunit ribosomal RNA
Source: RNAcentral
GUUUGAUCCUGGCUCAGAACGAACGUUAGCGGCGCGCUUAACACAUGCAAGUCGUGCGAGAAAGGGGCAACCCCGGUAAAGCGGCGCACGGGUGAGUAACACGUAGGUAAUCUACCUCCAGGUGGUGGAUAACCUUCCGAAAGGAGGGCUAAUACAGCAUGAGACCACGAUUUCGAAAGAGAUUGAGGUCAAAGUCGGCCUCUUCAUGAAAGCUGACGCCAGGAGAUGAGCCUGCGGCCCAUCACGGUAGUUGGUAGGGUAAUGGCCUACCAAGCCAAAGACGGGUAGCUGGUCUGAGAGGAUGAUCAGCCACACUGGAACUGAGACACGGUCCAGACUCCUACGGGAGGCAGCAGUGGGGAAUCUUGCGCAAUGGGCGAAAGCCUGACGCAGCGACGCCGCGUGAGUGAUGAAGGCCUCGG